Molecule: ribosomal RNA, 596 nt
Filed under: uncultured soil bacterium
Lineage: Bacteria
Description: bacterial SSU rRNA
Rfam family: Bacterial small subunit ribosomal RNA
Source: RNAcentral
GCUGGCGGCAGGCUUAACACAUGCAAGUCGAACGCGUGUAGCAAUACACGAGUGGCGCACGGGUGAGUAACGCGUGGAUAUCUGCCUUUUGGUUCGGAAUAACCCCGGGAAACUGGGGCUAAUACCGGAUGGUUCCUUCGGGAUAAAGAUUUAUCGCCAAAAGAUGAGUCCGCGUCCGAUUAGCUAGUUGGUGAGGUAAUGGCUCACCAAGGCGACGAUCGGUAGCUGGUCUGAGAGGACGAUCAGCCACACUGGGACUGAGACACGGCCCAGACUCCUACGGGAGGCAGCAGUGGGGAAUAUUGGACAAUGGGGGCAACCCUGAUCCAGCCAUGCCGCGUGAGUGAUGAAGGCCUUCGGGUUGUAAAGCUCUUUUGGCGGGGACGAUGAUGACGGUACCCGCAGAAUAAGCCCCGGCUAACUUCGUGCCAGCAGCCGCGGUAAGACGAAGGGGGCUAGCGUUGUUCGGAAUUACUGGGCGUAAAGCGCGUGUAGGCGGUUAUCCAAGUCGGGUGUGAAAGCCUUGAGCUCAACUCAAGAAAUGCACUCGGUACUGGGUGACUAGAGGACCGGAGAGGAUAGUGGAAUUCCCAGUG